RNAcentral lists this ribosomal RNA (1663 nucleotides) under Gammarus nekkensis. RNAcentral's name for it is "SSU rRNA". It matches the Rfam family "Eukaryotic small subunit ribosomal RNA", at positions 290 to 1619 of the family's 1831-position model. The record is from RNAcentral. Lineage: Eukaryota; Metazoa; Arthropoda; Malacostraca; Amphipoda; Gammaridae.
CUGCCACUUUCGAGUGUCUGCCUUAUCAGCUAUCAACCGUUCGUUAUGCGCGACCGAUGGCUUUGACGGGUAACGGGGAAUCAGGGUUCGAUUCCGGAGAGGCAGCCUGAGAGACGGCUACCACGUCCAAGGACGGCAGCAGGCACGCAAAUUACCCAAUCCCAGCAAAUGGGGGAGGUAGUGACGAAAUCUAACGAUGCGGGCGCCCUUUCUGGGGCCCCGCAAUCGGAAUGGGCACUUUCUAAACAACCUGUUGAGAACCUACUGAAGGGCAAGUCUGGUGCCAGCAGCCGCGGUAAUUCCAGCUUCAGCAGCAUCUAUUAAAGUUGCUGCGGUUAAAAGGCUCGCAGUUGAAUGUCUGUAUCGAGCGCAGGUCAGGUGGACGUUGGGGCGUGGAAGUACGGGCAGUUGGAUGUCCGGAGGGCCUUCGUGCUCAACGGCUCCUUCGGCUUUUCCACACACCCCCGUCCGUGACAAGCCUCCUCGCUCGGGUACAUAACGGGAAUCGGUCAAACGGAGUGUGGUCGGGAGUUGCGGUGCGUGGCCUCGGUUGCGUGUUGCUUCUUUCGGCUGCGUUAAGCUCCAUCGGUUUCACGGUCACCUUGAGUAAAUCAGAGUGCUCAAAGCAGUCGUAGGGGCCUUGCGCCCUGUGAACAGUCUUGACGGACUGACUUGGUUUUGCAUGGCAUGUCGGAAGACGACGUCGUGUGCUGGCUCAGAGGAUAAAUCAGUGGUACAAGCCAGCCUCGACGUAAUGAUUAAAAGGGACGGUCGAGGGCAUUGGUAUUGCGAGGCGAGAGGUGAAAUUCUGUGACCCCCGCAAGACCUCCUGAAGCGAAAGCGUCUGCCAAGGACGUUUUCAUUAAUCAUGAACGAAAGUUAGAGGAUCGAAGGCGAUCAGAUACCGCCCUAGUUCUAACCCUAAACGAUGCCAACCAUCAAUCCGCGCGUAGCACCCUUCUUAACGGGCUCGGCGGGCAGCUCCCCACUCACGGGAAACCAGAGCCUCUGGGUUCCGGGGGGAGUCUGGUUGCAAAGCUGAAACUUAAAGGAAUUGACGGAAAGGCACCACCAGGCGUGGAGCCUGCGGCUUAAUUUGACUCAACACGGGCCAUCUCACCAGGCCAGCACUCUUGUACGAUUGACAGAUUGAGAGCUCUUUCUCGAUUCAGUGGAUGGUGGUGCAUGGCCGUUCUUAGUUGGUGGAGUGAUCUGUCUGGUUAAUUCCGAUAACGAACGAGACUCUCCCCUGCUAACUAGUCGGUUGGAUCUUGAUCAGCGGGUUGCGUGCCGAGUAACUCUCGCUGUGCGUGGUGCGUAGCUGGGCCUCACGGUUCGUUGCGUGCUCGCGUGGUGUUGGAUGCCUUGGAUCACACUGCACCCCAAGUCCGCCGCUUAUGCUAUAACUCUUCUUAGAGGGAUUCACGGCACUGAAGCCGUAAGAGACUGAGAGCAAUAACAGGUCUGUGAUGCCCUUAGAUGCUCUGGGCCGCACGCGCGCUACAAUGCCGGGCACAGCAGGUGUUUCUCCUUCUCCGACAGGAGCGGGUAACCCUCUGAAAGCCAGUGUUCUUGCAAGUGCUUCCUCCCUCGUGGAGUUGCACAGAGGCGUGCUUGGGCCUGGGACUUGCAAUUCUUUCCCACCAACGAGGAAUGCCUAGUA